RNAcentral lists this ribosomal RNA (355 nucleotides) under uncultured bacterium. RNAcentral describes it as "bacterial SSU rRNA". It matches the Rfam family "Bacterial small subunit ribosomal RNA", at positions 917 to 1271 of the family's 1533-position model. The record is from RNAcentral.
GGACCCGCACAAGUAGUGGAGCAUGUGGUUUAAUUCGAAGAUACGCGCAGAACCUUACCAACACUUGACAUGUUCGUCGCGACUUUAAGAGAUUAAAGUUUUCGGUUCGGCCGGACGAAACACAGGUGCUGCAUGGCUGUCGUCAGCUCGUGUCGUGAGAUGUUGGUUAAGUCCCGCAACGAGCGCAACCCUCACUUUUAGUUGCCAUCAUUAAGUUGGGCACUCUGAAAGAACUGCCAGUGAUAAGCUGGAGGAAGGUGGGGAUGACGUCAAGUCCUCAUGGCCCUUACGUGUUGGGCUACACACGUGCUACAAUGGGGUGACAAAGAGUUGCCAAGCUGCGAAGCUGCGCAAA